Molecule: long non-coding RNA, 8799 nt
Filed under: Gallus gallus (chicken)
Lineage: Eukaryota; Metazoa; Chordata; Aves; Galliformes; Phasianidae
Description: lncRNA (ENSGALG00010021386.1)
Source: RNAcentral
GCUACUGAAAUACUUAGGUGAGUGCACUGAUGAUUUAUGAGUGCACAGAAAAGUCAGAAUCUUUCAGUGUUUUGCUUUUCUAUGACUGAAUUUUAUAAAUUAGAUGAAUUAUCUGCUCUUGGCACUGGAUGGUGUUCCAUGGUUCCCUAGUUAGUGAGUAGCACUAUGAAAUGCAGCGUAAGUGCCUCUGCUAUUGUGAAGGAAGACAGACUUUUUUGUGAAGUCUAUAUAUCCACAUCAGAUUACUGCAUUCUUUCGGAAGCAAAAGAGGAGAGUGGGAAAUUAUUAAUUUUGGCUGGAGAGUACUUCAAUUUUUUUUUCAAUAUACACAAAGAUAAAUGUUCUGUAUUCUUUUGACCCUAUGCUGAAAAUCAGUUCUCUUGCUAAUUUUUAAAUGUGCAUGGCUUUAGUCAUUGUCUGGCACUGCCUGAAGACUUUAAUUCUUCUAAGGAGCAUAGUUGGAAUCCUUUUUAAUUAACUUAGGUUCAGAUCAUGGGCUAGAAGUAGCAGUGGAGAUGACUGAUACCCCAUCCCUGCGGAUUUGUUUUCUUGCCAUUUUCUUAUGAGCAAUUACAGCAGGGAAGAGUAUGUUUUGUGAUUCUGAGAUCUUAAUAUCUCCUGCUUACUUAGCUCCUUGUUUAACUUGGGUUACCUGAUCUUUUACUUCUUUUUAUUUAAGUUUCUGGCUCCUGGCACUAUCUUCAGGUCAAUAAAUCUAGUGAGGCAGGCUGUUGGACCUGAAAGUAUUAGUUUAUAUCAGAGACUCGAAACAGCAAUCUCACAUUAACUGCACAUCCUCUAAAUGAUGUUCUUUAUAAGAAUUUGAAGGUUACCGAAUGAUUGGUUCAUUUAGGUGUCUCAGUCCCAAUUACUGGUUUCUUUGACACAGCAGUAUGCUGCCUGUGUUGUAAGCAUCCUCUUGACGUGCAAAAAUUACAUAGAAAAAAAAUGUACGGUGAGUGAAUCAAUGGCAGCAAACAGAAUAUUGCUGUGAAAGUGGUGCCAAAGCUUGUAAAAUAGUUAAGUUCAUGAACAGAGAUGAUGCUGUGUUUGGCUACAGUGCUGAAGGAUGGGAGAUCUGAUUGAAGUCUCAUCUUUGCUCUGGUAUUGACACUGAAGACAGUCAGCUUAACCUGCUGACAGUAGAAUAGCCACACUCCCUCCAAUAUGAACUGGUAAAGGGCGCUUUGAAGAGCUCUAGCAAAGAAUGUUGUCAUCAGAGAAAACUUCAAUGAAGAUUUCUUCCCUGCUUAUUUCUUAUCUCUUCUCUAGCUGAAGAGAGUGUGUGCUGGAAGUCAUUUUAAAGCUAAAUCCCCCUGAAGAAUGCAUCCAGUGUUAUGACAAAGCACAGAAGCAAGGCCACAGCAGAAGUGAUGAAAAGCCAACUAAAAUCAAGCCAUCUCAUUUUGUUCUGUGGAAGGCGACUGGGGGAAUUCAUGACGGAAAAGGGACUCUAAGAGCUGUCAUGUAGAAGGAAAAAAGGACGGGUGGAAUUAGAAGCUCAGCAGAUUCUGAGUAAGUUAUUGGGAAAAUCUUAAAACUCAAGCUCAGUUUGAAGGUCAAUAUAGUGAUCACUGAAUAUUAAGCACUUUAACAGAAAACUAAUUCUUCUUGUUGAAGUACACUAGGGAUGAUAGAUAAUCCACUCUUUGUGAGCUCUAUAUACAUAAUGUCCAGUGCUUCAAAACUGACUCACUCUUCUAUCUUAGCUUUUAGCUCUGGCAUAAGAAAAUAUGGAGCGGUUCCCAUGCUUGUGGAUCCAAUACAUCUCUGCACAGAUGCUUUUUUGAUGUUUGCAGUCUUCAAUAUCCAAGGGAUUUGUUUUUCUUUUGAGAGGUUUAUGGUCCUGAUAUAGACUUGAAGAAAUACUCAAUAAUAGUGAAAAGAAAAACUUUAGCCCCUGUCCUCCAUGACUUUAAAUCAAUACUUGCUGUGAUUUCUGAAAUAAUCUAAAAUUUAUUAAAACCUAUCCAGAAGACCACUCUUUGUCGAUGUUAAAAGGCAAUUUUCUAUUUGUAUUCUGAUUUUUCAAGUGAACUGCUAAAGUGAACCUCUGACAAAAUGGAAGUAUCAGUACAGUGUCCAAGGCUAUGGAAGGCUGAAGACCAUCAGAGCUUCCUGUCAGAUCUGUGCAGUGCAGAGUCAGCAGAUUUGAUCCAAUGUAUUCGCUUUGUAAAUGUCCCUUUUUUUCUUUUCCACUCUAGAUCUAAUCUUGAAGCUUGCUGACCUAUAACUAAAGCAUGACCUGGAGAACAGAUUGUGCUUGAUUUCAGUGACUAAUCAAAGUUGUCAGCUAUACAGAUGUGAAGGUAUGCACGUGUCCUGUGGCUGUGAGAUGGACCAAGUUUAGUGAUGGUCAUCUGUUUACAUUUUCUACACAUUUUUUCCAGUUGUCUCCAUAUGUGAAAACCCUGAUUUAUGUAGACAAGUAUCUUUGUUCUUGAAGAGAUGAGUAUUUGCCACUGCACACACACAAAUGAAAUAGGAAGAAGAGCAACAUGUCAGUAUACAUUAUAUGCUGCCAGAGCAGGCAGUGAAUGAAUAUGUCCAGUUAAAACUUCAGAAGAAGCUUAAGAAGUUGAAAUGAAACCUUAGAAAUGUGAGAAUAAAUACUAACCAUGUUACAGUGGCAAAGUACAAAAUGCCUACUUCAGGUUCUAUGCAGAAGAGGGUCUGCUUUAUAAGACAUUUCCCCUUCUGCCUGUCAUGGGGUCAGUACUAGUUUGGAGGGAAGAUUCUACAUACGAGAUCAACAACAUUAUUUGUUGUGAGAAGAAUAAGCUUGAAUCCUGUGCUCAACUCAGAGCAGUCAUUUUUAUUUUUACUGGUUUACAUUUGAAACUUUCCCACGUGCAGCAUCCAAUUAUGGUAUAUUACAAAAACCUGUGUUUAAAUGGUAACAGUGCACAGUGCUUGAAAGUGACUGUUGUUAAAUUGCUUGUUCACUUUGAUGAUUAAGCCAGCAAUUAUCGCAUUAGCAUCCUAAGCCACACUUGUCUGCUGAUACAUCUCCUUCUAAGGCAAUCCCAUAAGACAUGAGAGGCUAAGUAGGGAGGGUCUAGCACUUGGAGAAGGGAAGAGCAAAGAACGUGUAAGAGAUAAGGCUAGGAAUUAAGAAGAGGUUGCUUUCUUCUGUUCUUCUGUGUCUGCUUCAGUGUGAUUCAGGAUAGUGCUGGGACCUGGUACAUCAAAAGAGAUGGGGUUUUUUUUUGUUUGUUUGUUUGUUUUCUUUCAUAAGGAGUGGAAGAAUAGACCUUUCACUACUGGCAGUCAAAGGUCCCAUGGAACCUCCUGCCAGGUCUUGUCACUGAUCUGAUGAGGAGCUACGAGAUAUGGUUUAGUGGCUUGUGGUAGCAAGGGUAAUGGGAGGACGGUUGGACUAGAUGAUCUUAUAAGUUUUUUCCUACCUUGAGAUUCUGUGAUUCUUACUUGCUCAGUAAUCAAAGCAAAUCAUUUUAUUUGGUCAAAGAAGGACGAACCUUCACCUUCUGUGCUGCUGCAGCCUUGAGCUGCUUGUACCUUACCAUUACUGUCUUAAAAUGCCUGGUAAAAUGCUACUGAAUGCCAUGUAACAGUCUUCCACCUCCAUUGUUCCUGAGGUAUAUCUGGUAUCUUCACACUAUGCUUCUGGACUGAACACUUUAUUGUCCUCCCAAAAUCAAAGUAUUAGAUAUUACUUCUUUGUGAAGGUUUGGGUUUAUAUGGUAAAAUUUCAGGAGAUAACUGGAAUAAUUGUUACUUGGGACAGCUUGCUUUCUGGAAGACAGAACAGCAUCAGGCCCCUCUCUGUAGGUGCUGUGUUAGUUUCUCAUCAGUUUCCCGAAACUGUGCACUUCCAGACCUGUUUCGGUGUCUAUUUCAACCUCAGAAAUGACAUUUUUUUUCUCCUCUCCUGGAGAGGAGAGAACUGGUCUUUUACUUUUACAUCCCAGUAAGAACCAGUAUUAUUUUCUUCUUAAGAAAAUAUUUUUCAUGGAAUUGAUGGCUUCUUGAAUUGUAUCAGUAUGGAUCAGAUUUUGAGACCACUCUACUGCAGUUGAAAUGUCAUCCUAGUGCUUAUGCAAAUAUAUAACAGCAUGAUGUUGGGUUUUGAGCAAGUAUCUAUAUAAAGUCUCCCAUAGAAAAAUGUCUUUCCUAUGUGGAGUCCACUGAAUUAGUACAGAAGAUGGGGGAAUCCUUCUGUAAAAAUGUGCUACAACAACUCUCCAGUUUCUUAAUAAGGGUUGUAGAAGACAAUCUAGUUCUAAAAUGUACAGGAAUAUGUGUGAACCUCAGUAGGUGAAAACACCCAAGCUGAUCACAAAAUGCAGUCUUCAGGAAUGGUGAAACAUCAUGAACCACAGAAAUUAACCUUGUCUAGGAGGAGUGGUACAUGAUUUCACCUGGGCAUGAUUUGAAACUGCAGGUUCUGAGGCAAAGAAAAUUGCUCUUCAGACAUACCUUGAUGAAACAGGUUGAAAACUGUCUUAGGUUGGAGUCCAGAGAAAAAACUGCCCUCUGCCCCCACUUUACAUGAAUAACUGUAGCACGUAGGUAAUUAGAGAAGGACAGCAGGAGGAGGGUGCUAAGGAGUUAUUAAGAAAGCUUUUGUCUUUGAGGCGCUGUCCUUACCUCCCUGUAUGUAUUCCCUGCAGUCUUUUCUUCACUCUCUACCUCCUUACUGCAGUUACUUUCUGUCUUUCCUAACAGCAUUAGGCCAUCGAUUGCUUUUUCUUUCCCUCAGUCCCCAGAUUACAUCCUAUUCAAGUGUGUAACCUUUUUCCUGAAAGACAGAUGAAGCUACUACUCCCUUUUUUCUGGAGUAGAGGCUAUGGGUGCAACAGCAGUGAGUUUCCUGUAUGAGGUGGGGAUUACUUGGUUGAUGCAUGGCCAAGCACAAGCAAACUGAAGAGGCAAUGAGUCAGGCAGUGCAGUCAAGUGGGUUUAAGCGUCAUCGUGAUGUGCAAACUAGCAGCAGUCCAGAGUGGAGUUCUUUUAGGGAACAGUCUCUGAUGCUAUGCUAGGGUAAGUGCCAGAAGGAACUUGCAGAGGGGUGCUGGUUUUAGGUAGAAAUUACACAGAAGAGCAGAGCCCAGGGAAACAAGAACCCAAAUAGGAAGUUGGCAAACAUCCAGCAUGGGUCAAAUAAACACUGCAAAGUCCUUGACAGAUGUUUCCAUCUUCCGAUUUUGUCUACCUGGUCCAGAAAACAGCAAUAGUGAAUAGAAAGAAUUCAGUUUCAAGACAACAAACUAAAAGAGAUAAAAAAUAUUUUUGUAGGAUAAAGGGUCCACCCUGGAACUCCCUUCCAUCCACUGGUCAAUCUUCUUUUAAAAGUCUCGAAACAAUUCAGCUUCCAUUAUUUCUCCUGUGGGAACCGUGCCCAUUCUAACCAAUCUCACUGCCUGCAAGCUUCUCCGGGUGUAGGUUAUGCUUAAGCUUCUCAUUUAACCAUCCCAAAGAACCUUUCUUCUUCCUGCUCACUCUACAUCCUUCUAACAUGUAGAAGCAGUUUGGGUCUUAUUUCCUUUCAUCAUUGCAUGACUAAACACACUACUAUGUGGUAAAAAAAAAAAAAAAAGCCCUUAAUUCUGUUCUCUGCCACUUAGUUUUAUUCUUCCUUUCUGAUAUUUUUUCAAACUCUUGUUUUUGCAGGAGAAAACACAGGAUAUCACACUUUGUGAUAGGAUGUAGUUAAAAUCCACUGCUGCAUGCGAACUCAUUCUUCUGGAAGGAAUCGAGUUCCUUCAAUCUCCUAUUAAACUAUUCUCAGCUCUACCUGUAAGGCAAUCAGUCUUGCAGGUGUUGACCUUAAAAAUAAGCUCAGCAUCCUUUUGUCAGAUGGAAAUUAUGAAUCUUCUCAAAAUGAGGUGCUGUUACUGAUCUUUUUUUCCACAAAGCUCACUUAAAAUUACCUAAAUUUCAGUUCAGAUUUUUUCUCACUUUUGCUAUCUACCAACUGUCAGCCAGAUCAGCAUCUAAACAGAUACCAAAACACUGCUUAUCAACUAAUCACAUCACUGUGAAAGACAAAAUAACCUUCCAUGUUCUAAUUAUUUUAUAAUGCCUUUGAUUAUUAUUUUUUCGGUGUGCAAAACACAGUGUAACUCCCCCGUGCCUACUGUUGGAGAAAGUGCAAUGCUAAAAGUCAGCUCUGCAAAUUUACAAAAACAAAUAAGCAAAGGUAGCCCAUUUAAAUGCUACACUACUGACAGUUACUUAAAAUGCUCCCACUUGAAUCUGCUGCAUCAGUGUGAGUUUUAGAAGGCAAAGUCCAUACCCCUGACUAUGAGCUCUUCUUGAAUAUAAGAACAAUUUAAAUGCCUUCUUAAAGUCAGAACCAGGGCAAUGAGUGACUGGAACAGAUUGCCCAAAAGAGUUGUGGAUGCGCUGGAGUUAUUCAAGUUCAGGCUGGAUAGAGCCCUGGGCAGCCUGAUCUGGUGGAAGGCAGCUCUCCCCACAUCAGGGCAUUGGAACUGGAUGGUCUUUAAGGUCCUUUCCAGCCAAAACUGUCCUGUGAUUUUAUAAUUCUAUGAAGAACUCAAGCACAAAAAUCCCUCUCAAGGCUGGAAUUAGCAGUCUCACUCCCCGCAUGGGGAGAAGCGUGGGAUGAGUGCUUUUUAAAUGAGUGCUGCAACUUCAAUGUAUAGUGUCUCCUUCUUAUUACCUUGUGCUGAGAAACAAAUUCAAAACGUGGAGAGCAAAACACUUUUGUUCACAAGGUGUGGUGUUGGACUGGGGCCUUCCCAGUCUGGGGUAGGCAUUGAAAUCUGUCUCCCCUAUUUCAUGGGGAAUGCUUCAACCACUCUAGUAUGAUAGCCAAGACCCCAGUAAUGUCAUCAUCUUUGUGAAUGACUCUAAAAGGAACACAGUGUAUUUUCAGACUUUUCAAAGAGCAGUUUUAAGUAUAUUCUCAGUUGAGGGCUCUAAGUUCUAGGUUAAAACAGGUAGAGGUUAUUUUGUUCAUCCUAAAUAAGAUGCCAGAUUUGCUGCAGAGAGAGAGGACUGUGAAAGCAUGUGUGUGCCUGCCAUUUUGUGUUGUCUCUCCACAGAUCAUUCUCAGCAUGUGAGAUUUUCAGAUAAGCACUUUGAGGUGUUUAAUUCUUAGCAGGAAGUGCAUAGGGAGCCUUCAUGUUGAACUCUGGAGUUUUAUUCUGCUCUGAAGACCAAAAUCCUAAAAGGAAACUAUUAAAAAAGAAGGUUUUCUUACUGGGUUUAGUCACAACCUACAAGUCUCUUCUGCUGUUCUGUUACAGAAAGUUGCAGUUGCAGCAAAAAAAGUGCUGCAAGAAACAUUCUUCAUAAACAGGUUUUAUAUAAUUACAGCCAUUCUGCACACUAAGUAUAUUAUCUACCUUUUAGAAACCUUGUUAGAAUAAUGCACAAGCUCUUAUAGAAAAAUCUCUUUACCAGUCCUCCGUGGAAAGCACCCUUCCUGCUGAUUUUGUAGAAUUAGUUUCUCCUUGCCUGGUAUUUAAAUUGUGUAGCAGUCAAUUUGCCAUACAGUGUUCCUCAGCACUGAUAUACAGCAUUUCCACUGGCGAUGACAGUGUAUUUAUUAAUAGAUGUUUUUUGCUUACUUCAUCAAGGUUAUGCCUCUUACUUUUAAUAUGCAUUUGAAAUACAUCUUCUAACAUCCUUAAAAAAUAAUAAAAAAUAACAUCAAUGCAAAAAAAAAAAGAAAAAGAAAAAGAAAAAAAGCCCAACCUGAUCAAAGGUCUUAUGCUUUCAAAUGAAAAAUACCACUCAGCCUGCCUUUCAGAUCAUUUAGAAUAUAUCCCAAGUUUUCAGUAUUGCUCUACCUCCUUCCGCCUUCUGUAUCCUAGCUGUAAAUGGAUUUAAAAAAUAAAGUCUUAAACCUUUGUAAGGUUGUUUCAAGUACAUGCAGUUUGCCAAGAACUCUGACAGGAACAGUCUUUCAUGUAUAUAGCUCCAAUUCCUUCUUCUGCAUUUAAUGAAGACUAUUGGUGCUCUCUACGGCAAUGUAGUACUUCCCUUCUGUAUUUUGUUUGGGUCUGCAUCUCUCCAUGGCUACUGUGAAGCACUGUCCCAUCACGUUAACUGGGUGAGACGUAAGCAGCUUUCUAGAUUCAGUUAUAGUUGCAGUCCCUUUAUCCAGGAUACUGCAUUACUAGAAGGUAAGUUCUGAAUUGCCUUUAGCCAACAUACUUCAGACCAUUUGCACAGUCUCCUUCUCAGGCCUCCUUUUAAAUAACUAUUAAGGGAAACACCAGGGGUUGAACUUUCAUGGUUACGGUUUUGUUGUAGGUGGACUAGGGCAAGAGAGAUGCCUUCAAAAAACACUCCAAAUAUUUUUCUUGAUGGUCUGACCAGCUGCAAGCAAGAGGUGUGCUCACUGUGACAUGUGAGCACCUGAAAAAUUAAAGCUAACUGCCUGGCAGAUUAGGUCUUCAAGUUCUGCACUUGUAAUUUAGUUGAACCCAACCCAGUGUUUGGAUUUUCACACAGUCAUAAUACAUAUACAUAUAUACUUGCACUGAUCCAGAGGUGUUAGAAGGGCUGUUUUGGUUGUGUACUACUUAUUUGAAUUGCAAGAGCAUUAAUCAUUUUAUCUGGAGAGAAACCUGCCUAAAUAAAUGGAGAUUUUAAAGUAUGUGCCUAUCGUAUUCAACAUGCAUCAGGUUUGCUAAGGCUGACAGUCAUUUCUUUUCUAGUCUGUCACAAAGAUCUAUUUAGAAAUUCAGCUCUGGAAUUAAAAUGAAAGGCCACUACUGAUUGCUCGCUUUUAUUCUGCAGAUAAAUUAAGUUCUGUUAUUAGAGAUGACCUAUGAAAAUAACACAUGAUCAUUCAUAUAUUUU